UAGGGAAUCUUCCACAAUGGGCGAAAGCCCGAUGGAGCAACGCCGCGUGUGUGAUGAAGGGUUUCGGCUCGUAAAACACUGUUGUAAGAGAAGAAUGACAUUGAGAGUAACUGUUCAAUGUGUGACGGUAUCUUACCAGAAAGGAACGGCUAAAUACGUGCUAG
Molecule: ribosomal RNA, 164 nt
Filed under: uncultured bacterium
Lineage: Bacteria
Description: partial 16S rRNA
Rfam family: Bacterial small subunit ribosomal RNA
Source: RNAcentral